RNAcentral lists this ribosomal RNA (467 nucleotides) under uncultured bacterium. RNAcentral describes it as "partial 16S ribosomal RNA". It matches the Rfam family "Bacterial small subunit ribosomal RNA", at positions 29 to 507 of the family's 1533-position model. The record is from RNAcentral.
ACGAACGCUGGCGGCGUGCUUAACACCUGCAAGUCGAACGGAAAGGCCCUGCUUUUGUGGGGUGCUCGAGUGGCGAACGGGUGAGUAACACGUGAGUAACCUGCCCUUGACUUUGGGAUAACUUCAGGAAACUGGGGCUAAUACCGGAUAGGAGCUCCUGCUGCAUGGUGGGGGUUGGAAAGUUUCGGCGGUUGGGGAUGGACUCGCGGCUUAUCAGCUUGUUGGUGGGGUAGUGGCUUACCAAGGCUUUGACGGGUAGCCGGCCUGGGAGGGUGACCGGCCACAUUGGGACUGAGAGACGGCCCAGACUCCUACGGGAGGCAGCAGUGGGGAAUAUUGCACAAUGGGCGGAAGCCUGAUGCAGCAACGCCGCGUGCGGGAUGACGGCCUUCGGGUUGUAAACCGCUUUCGCCUGUGACGAAGCGUGAGUGACGGUAAUGGGUAAAGAAGCACCGGCUAACUACGUG